UUUAGCGCUACCUGCAGUGUUUUUUACAAGUAACAAAGAUGGCGUCGCCAGACAUGUUGACACAAGUCCCAUGGCGCAUCACGCGGUUGGAACAUUGUUCAUCUCUGCCAAAACUUGAAAAGUAACUCAUCAAUCGUGCCUCCAAGCUUUCAAUUAGUGUUAUUACUAUUAAUUACGAAAAAGUGAUAGUUUUUUGGUGAAAAUCAAUUGUUAAAAAAAUUAUGUCGCCAGUGAAAAGUGAAAUUAAUUGUUGUGCUAUUGAAAAACGACAUCACCCAAAAAGAAGAAUAACAAGAAGAUAAAACUAGUGAAUUUAUUAUUUAGAAAUAUUAAAUUCAUUGCCAGAGUUUGGAUAAACAUUAAAUAUUUAUGUUUUAACUUAAAUUAUAAAAAUUUGUCAUAAUUGGAACAAAAAAUGAGACUGAGUGUGUUUCAACCGGUACCCAUAAGGAUUCAACCAAGGAUGCGGAGGACAACAUAAUUCAACCAAGGAUUCAAUACGGAUGGACCAAUGAUCAAGGAUAGAGGAAGCCAAUCAACGCAGCCAACAAUAAAGGAUCAAGGAUUCAAAGGAUUCAAGGAUGCCACGAUUAAGCCAAGGAA
Cotesia glomerata is the source of this 603-nucleotide long non-coding RNA. RefSeq lists it as uncharacterized. NCBI's taxonomy places the organism in Eukaryota, Metazoa, Arthropoda, Insecta, Hymenoptera, Braconidae. The transcript has 3 exons. The record is from RefSeq and is a predicted model, not a curated record.